Molecule: ribosomal RNA, 301 nt
Filed under: uncultured bacterium
Lineage: Bacteria
Description: partial 16S ribosomal RNA
Rfam family: Bacterial small subunit ribosomal RNA
Source: RNAcentral
CAGCAGCCACGGUAAUACGAAGGGUGCAAACGUUGCUCGGAAUUAUUGGGCGUAAAGCGCACGUAGGCGACUCCGCAAGUCGGAUGUGAAAUCCCUCGGCUUAACCAAGGAAGUGCAUCCGAAACUGCAGAGCUUGAGUACUUAAGAGGAUCGCGGAAUUCCCGGUGUAGAGGUGAAAUUCGUAGAUAUCGGGAGGAACACCAGUGGCGAAGGCGGCGAUCUGGGAAGAUACUGACGCCGAGGUGCGAAAGCGUGGGGAGCAAACAGGAUUAGAUACCCGCGUAGUCCCUGUCUCUUAUAC